GACGAACGCUGGCGGCGCGCCUAACACAUGCAAGUCGAACGAGCGAGAGAGAGCUUGCUUUCUCGAGCGAGUGGCGAACGGGUGAGUAACGCGUGAGGAACCUGCCUCAAAGAGGGGGACAACAGUUGGAAACGACUGCUAAUACCGCAUAAGCCCACGGGUCGGCAUCGACCAGAGGGAAAAGGAGCAAUCCGCUUUGAGAUGGCCUCGCGUCCGGUUAGCUAGUUGGUGAGGUAACGGCCCACCAAGGCGACGAUCGGUAGCCGGACUGAGAGGUUGAACGGCCACAUUGGGACUGAGACACGGCCCAGACUCCUACGGGAGGCAGCAGUGGGGAAUAUUGCACAAUGGGGGAAACCCUGAUGCAGCGACGCCGCGUGGAGGAAGAAGGUCUUCGGAUUGUAAACUCCUGUUGUUGGGGAAGAUAAUGACGGUAACUUAUGAAUAAGCACCGGCUAACUACGUGCCAGCCGCCGCGGUAA
Molecule: ribosomal RNA, 482 nt
Filed under: uncultured bacterium
Lineage: Bacteria
Description: partial 16S ribosomal RNA
Rfam family: Bacterial small subunit ribosomal RNA
Source: RNAcentral